UACGGAGGGUGCAAGCGUUAUCCGGAUUCACUGGGUUUAAAGGGUGCGUAGGUGGGUUGGUAAGUCAGUGGUGAAAUCCCCAAGCUUAACUUGGGAACUGCCAUUGAUACUAUCAGUCUUGAAUACCGUGGAGGUCAGCGGAAUAUGUCAUGUAGCGGUGAAAUGCUUAGAUAUGACAUAGAACACCAAUUGCGAAGGCAGCUGGCUACACGAAUAUUGACACUGAGGCACGAAAGCGUGGGGAUCAAACAGG
RNAcentral lists this ribosomal RNA (253 nucleotides) under uncultured Terrimonas sp. RNAcentral describes it as "partial 16S ribosomal RNA". It matches the Rfam family "Bacterial small subunit ribosomal RNA", at positions 524 to 776 of the family's 1533-position model. Lineage: Bacteria; Pseudomonadati; Bacteroidota; Chitinophagia; Chitinophagales; Chitinophagaceae. The record is from RNAcentral.